GAAUCAUGAGUCUAUGGGUGUCUGCUGGCUCGCAAGGGCAUGUGCACGCCUGUCUCAUCCACUCUCAACUUCUGUGCACUUUUCAUAGGCCGGCUUGUGGGUGCGUUUGCGCACUUGUAGGUGUCGGGCUUAUGCUUUACUACAAACGAUUCAGUUUUAGAAUGUCAUACUUUGCUAUAACGCAAUUAUAUACAACUUUCAGCAACGGAUCUCUUGGCUCUCGCAUCGAUGAAGAACGCAGCGAAAUGCGAUAAGUAAUGUGAAUUGCAGAAUUCAGUGAAUCAUCGAAUCUUUGAACGCACCUUGCGCUCCUUGGUAUUCCGAGGAGCAUGCCUGUUUGAGUCUCAUGGAAUUCUCAACCUUCAGCUUUAUUGAUGAAGGCUUGGACUUGGAGGUCGUGCCGGCUCUCGUAGUCGGCUCCUCUGAAAUGCAUUAGUGCGAACGUUACCAGCCGCUUCAGCGUGAUAAUUAUCUGCGUUGCUGUGGAGGGUAUUCUAGUGUUCACGCUUCUAACCGUCUUCGGACAAAUUUCUGAACUCUGAGCUCAAAUCAGGUAGGACUACCCGCUGAACUUAAGCAAUAAAAACGGGGGGGG
Molecule: ribosomal RNA, 595 nt
Filed under: Bjerkandera adusta
Lineage: Eukaryota; Fungi; Basidiomycota; Agaricomycetes; Polyporales; Phanerochaetaceae
Description: eukaryotic LSU rRNA
Rfam family: 5.8S ribosomal RNA (bases 194-347)
Source: RNAcentral